This is a long non-coding RNA of Triticum dicoccoides, 1598 nucleotides long. RefSeq lists it as uncharacterized. The record is from RefSeq and is a predicted model, not a curated record. Lineage: Eukaryota; Viridiplantae; Streptophyta; Magnoliopsida; Poales; Poaceae. The transcript is spliced from 5 exons.
GUUGGAUUGCGCUCUCAUCCCCUACGGCGAAACGGUGGGGAGAUUGACUGCGCCCAGGGCGCUGCCGCCUACCAGCGAGCUCGCAGUUGCUCCGGCGGCCAUGGAGUUCUUAAUGCAGCCGAUAAACAGGUGACUGAUAACAACAGAACAAUGGAGCCCGUGCGGUUCCUAAUCACCGCGCAGCCGGAGGUUGAGCUUCCAGCACCGGCGGCUUCAAGUGCGGACGCCCAGAUCUGUCGUGCAGAGACGGGAACUGCGGAGAUGGCCCAGACUUCCGAGCACUCCAUAGAGCAAUUGGACCCCAAAACACCUGGUUGGAUACAAAGAGUGCGUGUAGGUGCUGCUGCUGUAGGCAGGGCUCCUUGCCUGGACAGGGUCACAGCGCUGGAGAAGACCAUGAGGGAAUUUGCGGAUCAUCCAGGAGACAGAGUCAUUGUGCCAAAGAUAGGUACAAGUUUCGACACUCUUGGUGAGGCAUACGACUUUUACAAUUUGUACUCCUGGGAGAAAGGAUUUGGCAUUAGAUAUGGGAAGAGCAGACUAAAUGUGAACAGGACAAAGUUGGAAAUACUCGUUCCUGCCGCUGUGAAUGGCCAGCCCUCAUGAGAUUGCUGGGGUCAAAGGACAAUGGAUGCCCAAUGCAUAUCUUUGUGAGGAAGUAUAUGAGUUUAAUUUCUGAUAGGGAGUCGAGGAAAAUUAUGAGGAGAAGCGGACAACAAUCGGGAGGCCCCUUAUGCGAGCAAAUAUGGCAACCGAGAGACAUGCUGGGCAGAUAUACACUAGAGCUAUAUUUGAGCAAUUCGGUCAUAUACUAUAGGAGUGUGGUGCAUAUCAGGUGGAAGAGAUCAAAAAGGGUAAAGAGUAUAUGGCAAUACCUACAGAUGCAACACGAAGAGAGAAGUGGUGCAGAACUUCAUACAAGGUGACGGUGCUUGAAGGAGGGGAGGAAUUUGACUGCAAGUGUGGUCAAUUUGCACACAUGGGGCUGUUGUGCAGCCAUAUCCUUAAGGUGCCUUCAUCCGUGUGACAGAAAUCCCAAAGAAGCACAUAGUGAAGAGGUGGACCAGAGAUGCAAGAGAUAUCCUUCAACGCACCUAAUUCAGUACCAGAGGGACAAUGCUCAAGAAAACCCGUUUAGUUUCCGACAUUUCAAUAUGUACAUGCAAGCCAUGGAGCUUGUGCGGAUGGGCAACUCAAGUGUAGCAGCUUAUGAACAUUUGAUUGCAUUGUUCAAGCAAUGUGCAUCAGAGAUGAAGCCAUUCACAGAAGUCAGAGAUGGUUUAUGUCUGGAAGACAGGUUAGCAGGCAAUAUUAGGAUUCUGAACAGGAUACAAUCAGAAGGCGAUGUAUAUCAAGGAGUAGAUGACAUGUUAGCGUGGGCAACGCUGACAGCAAUUCAGCAAAUGAGUAUGCGAUUAGGCUUUCAAACUUAUUAGCACCAGCUAAGCGUAAACAAGUGGGCAGACGGACAACCAGUAGGGAGAAAGCUCCAUAUGAAGGUUUAAGUAAAAGAACAGGGUUUUGUGUCAUAUGCAUGCAGCAAGGCCACAAGCGGACAACAUGUCCUGAAGGCGGUGACAUACUAAAACAGCCUCGUA